AGGUGUGAAAUAACCUGAGAUUGCAUCAUUUUGAGAUCAUCUCCAAAUUUUGAACAAAACUGAGGAAAAUUUUGCCCCAGUUUGAUUGGAUUUUUCCCUUUGCAUUUUCUUCAUUGCAUUCUUCUUACUUUUGCAUUUUUUCAAAAACUAAAUUUGCCCCAGUGUGGGGUUCUCUUUUUCUUUCUGAUCAUUUUUCAAAAUGAAUUUGCCCCAGUGUGGGGUUUCCUUUUCU
Molecule: long non-coding RNA, 232 nt
Filed under: Coffea arabica (coffee)
Lineage: Eukaryota; Viridiplantae; Streptophyta; Magnoliopsida; Gentianales; Rubiaceae
Description: long non-coding RNA (CARA_LNC003183)
Source: RNAcentral